AUCUGUGUCACCCAGAGGUGCUUUUAGGUUUUAAAUUCUGUAUUAACGGUUGUUUUCUUUCCAGACUGCAAAAUUCAAAAUGGGGCUCAAGGUAUUCGUUUCAUCUACACCAGAGAAGGCAGACCAAGUGGCGAGGCUUUUGUUGAACUUGAAUCAGAAGAUGAAGUCAAAUUGGCCCUGAAAAAAGACAGAGAAACUAUGGGACACAGAUAUGUUGAAGUAUUCAAGUCAAACAACGUUGAAAUGGAUUGGGUGUUGAAGCAUACUGGUCCAAAUAGUCCUGACACGGCCAAUGAUGGCUUUGUACGGCUUAGAGGACUUCCCUUUGGAUGUAGCAAGGAAGAAAUUGUUCAGUUCUUCUCAGGUAUAUUGAAAUCUUUAAGAGCAGUAGAGCUGAAGUUAGAACUCACUAUGAUCCACCACGAAAGCUUAUGGCCAUGCAGCGGCCAGGUCCUUAUGACAGACCUGGGGCUGGUAGAGGGUAUAACAGCAUUGGCAGAGGAGCUGGCUUUGAGAGGAUGAGGCGU
RNAcentral lists this small RNA (527 nucleotides) under Pan troglodytes (chimpanzee). RNAcentral's name for it is "processed transcript". Lineage: Eukaryota; Metazoa; Chordata; Mammalia; Primates; Hominidae. The record is from RNAcentral.